RNAcentral lists this ribosomal RNA (381 nucleotides) under uncultured marine Chaetocerotaceae. RNAcentral describes it as "SSU rRNA". It matches the Rfam family "Eukaryotic small subunit ribosomal RNA", at positions 587 to 972 of the family's 1831-position model. Lineage: Eukaryota; Bacillariophyta; Thalassiosirophyceae; Chaetocerotales; Chaetocerotaceae. The record is from RNAcentral.
AGCUCCAAUAGCGUAUAUUAAAGUUGCUGCAGUUAAAAAGCUCGUAGUUGCAUUUCCGAGGCAAGGGAUUAGUCCGACCUUUGGUGGGUAUUUAAUCCUCUUGCCUCGUCCUUGAGUGGUGCUUCUUGGUAUUAAGUUAUCGAGGAGAUAGCCGCUCAUCGUUUACUGUGAGAAAAUUAGAGUGUUCAAAGCAGGCUUAUGCCGUUGAAUAUAUUAGCAUGGAAUAAUAAGAUAGGACCGCGGUACUAUUUUGUUGGUUUGAGAACCAAGGUAAUGAUGAAUAGGGACAGUUGGGAGUAUUCGUAUUCAGUUGUCAGAGGUGAAAUUCUUAGAUUUACGGAAGACGAACUACUGCGAAAGCAUUUACCAAGGAUGUUUUCA